Molecule: ribosomal RNA, 442 nt
Filed under: uncultured bacterium
Lineage: Bacteria
Description: partial 16S ribosomal RNA
Rfam family: Bacterial small subunit ribosomal RNA
Source: RNAcentral
CCUACGGGAGGCAGCAGUAGGGAAUCUUUCACAAUGGGCGAAAGCCUGAUGGAGCAACGCCGCGUGCAGGAUGAAGGCCUUCGGGUUGUAAACUGCUUUUAUAAGCGAGAAAUAUGAUGGUAACUUAUGAAUAAGGAUCGGCUAACUACGUGCCAGCAGCCGCGGUCAUACGUAGGAUCCGAGCAUUAUCCGGAGUGACUGGGUGUAAAAAGUUGCGUAGGUGGCAUAAUAAGUAGCUAGUGAAAUCUGGUGGCUCAACCAUUCAGACUAUUAGCUAAACUGUUAAGCUCGAGACCGUUAGGGGUAACUGGAAUUUCUAGUGUAGGAGUGAAAUCCGUAGAUAUUAGAAGGAACACCAAUAGCGAAGGCAGGUUACUGGGACGGUUCUGACACUAAGGCACGAAAGCGUAGGGAGCAAACGGGAUUAGAUACCCUGGUAGUC